GACGAACGCUGGCGGCGUGCUUAACACAUGCAAGUCGAACGGAAAGGCCCUGCUUUUGUGGGGUGCUCGAGUGGCGAACGGGUGUGUAACACGUGAGUAACCUGCCCUUGACUUUGGUAUAACUUCAGGAAACUGGGGCUAAUACCGGAUAGGAGCUCCUGCUGCAUGGUGGGGGUUGGAAAGUUUCGGCGGGUGGGGAUGGACUCGCGGCUUAUCAGCUUGUUGGUGGGGUAGUGGCUUACCAAGGCUUUGACGGGUAGCCGGCCUGAGUGGGUGACCGGCCACAUUGGGACUGAGAUACGGCCCAGACUCCUACGGGAGGCAGCAGUGGGGAAUAUUGCACAAUGGGCGGAAGCCUGAUGCAGCAACGCGGCGUGCGGGAUGACGGCCUUCGGGUUGUAAACCGCUUUCGCCUGUGACGAAGCGUGAGUGACGGUAAUGGGUAAAGAAGCACCGGCUAACUACGUG
RNAcentral lists this ribosomal RNA (468 nucleotides) under uncultured bacterium. Its description in RNAcentral is "partial 16S ribosomal RNA". It matches the Rfam family "Bacterial small subunit ribosomal RNA", at positions 28 to 507 of the family's 1533-position model. The record is from RNAcentral.